AGUCGGUUUGAAUGCAAUAUAAAUACAUGUACAUUGAGAAAUAACACUCCAGUAAUGCAGUACUCGAUAACUGUAGGAGGCUGACUAUACCGUCUGUGUGUGGAGUGACGGGCAGAGCAGCUCACGACGUCGCCGCUGUCUCAUGUUUCCGCUCGCACGCUCAUCCAAGUUCUCCUACACUGCCAUGAGCUCCAGAGCGCUGACUGGUCUUAUGAGGUAGGCGAAGCUUCAGCCAUCAUUAUGGGUGGAUUGGAACUUCUAUCAACAUAGUCAUUCACCCCACCUGUCCCUUACAGCC
Procambarus clarkii (red swamp crayfish) is the source of this 298-nucleotide non-coding RNA. The record is from RefSeq and is a predicted model, not a curated record. NCBI's taxonomy places the organism in Eukaryota, Metazoa, Arthropoda, Malacostraca, Decapoda, Cambaridae.